UUGGGUACCUGCCCCAGCCUGCUCCUAGGGACACAUCUGGUGUCCACCCACAGAUGGAGAAACUGUUCAGAGCUAAGUGACUCCUCCUUCCAGGUGAUGCCCAAGCCCAGUCCCAUGAGUUGAAGACAAUCAUAUGCACUUGAUGGUUCAAAUCACAGGAGCUCUGCAGAUUCCCUGUGCUCUGCAUUUAAGGUGGCAGAGAUGCAGAAUGGAUAAACACAAUGGAUUCAGAGAGCAUCACUGCAAUGGAGUGAACCACCAAACACACCCAAGGAUAUCAUGUCUUUGCAAAGGGAAAAGAACACUCUCCUCUUUCAUGCUCCAUAUAAUGAGUAAUGGUGAUCAGGAUCUGAAGAUGAUCUUUACCCAUUGCCAAUUUUAAGAAGGUUUCAGGCAAAGCAUUGUGUAUUUAAGAAAUGUGAAUAUACUGUGGUUUUCAAGCAGACAGAGGAACACCCUUAAAAGAGAUUUAAACAAUUUGA
Cyanistes caeruleus (blue tit) is the source of this 482-nucleotide long non-coding RNA. RefSeq lists it as uncharacterized. The record is from RefSeq and is a predicted model, not a curated record. NCBI's taxonomy places the organism in Eukaryota, Metazoa, Chordata, Aves, Passeriformes, Paridae.